Pogona vitticeps (central bearded dragon) is the source of this 1918-nucleotide long non-coding RNA. NCBI's taxonomy places the organism in Eukaryota, Metazoa, Chordata, Lepidosauria, Squamata, Agamidae. The record is from Ensembl.
GUCUCAAUAACUUCUGAUCCCUAACUCUCUCUAUCCCUGUCUGGUUCCAACUCUCAACUGUCUCAUCUAGCUGUCCCAACUGUCAUUCUGACUCCGCCCCUCCUGCUCUAUCCUCUAAUUGACAUGCAGGAAUGACGUCAUACUUUGGGUUCUGUUACACCAGCAAUGAGGGAUUAUGGGUUUUGCAAUUGAACAACAUCUGGAUGGCCAUACCUUCCUCACUUUUGUGUGACAAGGUCAUUUUAAAAAUAAUUUAGGCCCAAUUGGAAGGGCACUUAUAUAUGACAAUGCUCACAGCGGCCACCAUUUUGUUUAAAAUUGGACUUCUCCAGUGUGAAUACAAUUUUGUGAAGUCAAAGGAGAUACAUAAGAUGAUAUAUUUUUUAUUACAAAAGAAAACUCCAAGGUGCCUCUCUAUUUCCUGCUUUAGCAAUAGGAGAAUUGAGACUCAGGCAAAACUGAUGUUGAGAAGUAGCAGAAGAGAAGGGCUCCUUUAUUUUGAAUUUCCCAAAGAGAGGGGGAAGAGAGAGAGAGAGAGAGAGUACAAUUGCACUGGACUAAUAAAGAUUAUGUAACUAUGAAUAGGACUAUGCUGUAAACAUGUUGUUUGUAAAUGUUAAUAUCAUGAAAGGCAAUGUGUUUCUUCGGCUCUCUCACACUUCUAGUAAUGCCGUAUAUAGGGAGGAGAGUGGCCAGUGGGGUUGUGCCUUAGUGUUUACUUGAGUUGGAAGUUAAGGCAUCAAAAGCGAGCAUAUCAUAUAUUGAAUGAGGGGGAGUUGAUCAGAUUUGGGGGGUGGGGUGGAAGUAUGCUUUUUUGAUUCUAUAAUGACUUUUUUUACCUGUUUAGGAAUAUACAAAAAUUCUAUUCUAUAAGAGAAUUCAAUAGGCAUAAAUUUUGCUAUUGCACACACUCUGGCAUGAUAUAGAAAUACACCAAAAUAACAGGAAUGGAGAUGAAAUAUUUUCAGAUUUCUCUCACUUAACACAUUUUAUCUGAAGUCCAUCUGCUUUCUUGUGCCUACUUGGGAAUGCACAACAUCUCUGCCUUGUAAGCUGCCAAACUGAACAGAGAGUGGGAGAGAAUAUUAAAAUGACACUUUUGAUCCAAACGGUGCCUCUUUAUUAAAAUGAAGGCUCCAGAUUGCCUUCAUUUUGAGAGCCUGAAAUGUAAGCUGCUAAGGGCCAGUGGGCUAUUAAAAUAAUCAGAGAUGAAUAGUGAAGACAGACCUUGUAUGAGGCUCCUUUUCAGGUCCCUGAAAGAAGCCACAAAAUGGAGACACCAUAGAGCUUCAUUUCAAGUCCCUGCGUACAGGACUGUAGUGGGCAAAAUAUCAAAGAGAAUUUCACUGAUUUAAAUGCCAUUUAGAUGAGGGAUAAAUGAAGGGAAGUGCUUCUGAAUAUUUUUGGCAUAGCCGAAAGGCACUACCCUGUUCCAACAUACAGAGAGAGGGGGGGUUGUAAUUAAAAGCUUCCUGAAGUAAUUAAAAGCUUCCUAUCCCUUUUUUAAAGAUCCCUAGAGCUCCCUUUUUGCCUUGGGGAAGCUUUCCGGAACCUCAGGGUGUUGAGGGGAAAGCCCUUAAUAUAUAUAUAUACAGGUCCAUCCAGCAAAUCCUGAGUCUUUUGGAGUCUUUCACUUCUGAUUUCUGGUGCUAUAGGAAAUUAAGCCAUACAGAACCCUUAAGACUAGUCCAAAAAAGCAAUAGACAAUCCUUUACUCUAAAUGGGCAACAAUGGUAGUACAUUGGGGGGGGACUAUCAUCCACAGAGCAACUCAGGCACUAACAAUACUUUAAUAUUUAUUUAUCAUCACAUCACUAUCCUGAUCUUCAGUUCAUCAGCAGGACACAGUGUAUUGAGAAAGAGAAAUCAUCAUCGUGAUUGUAAUCAAAAUAAAGGCAAUAUUAUCACACUUAGGGCA